Molecule: small nuclear RNA, 107 nt
Organism: Otolemur garnettii (small-eared galago)
Lineage: Eukaryota; Metazoa; Chordata; Mammalia; Primates; Galagidae
Source: Ensembl
GUGCUCGCCCCAGCGGCACAUAUACUAAAGUUGCAAUGAUGCAGAGAAGAUUCGCAUGGCCCCUUUGCAGGGAUGACACAUAAAUUCGUGGAGCAUUCCAUAUUUUU